This 330-nucleotide ribosomal RNA is filed under the name uncultured bacterium. RNAcentral's name for it is "bacterial SSU rRNA". It matches the Rfam family "Bacterial small subunit ribosomal RNA", at positions 568 to 898 of the family's 1533-position model. The record is from RNAcentral.
CGCGUAGGUGGUAGUGCAAGUCUGAUGUGGAAUCUUAGGGCUUAACCCUAAAACUGCAUUGGAAACUGUAUUACUUGAGUCAGUGAGGGGAGGGUAGAAUUCCCGGUGUAGCGGUGAAAUGCGUAGAUAUCGGGAGGAAGGCCUGUGGCGAAGGCGGCCCUCUGGCGCUGAACUGACACUGAGGCGCGAAAGCGUGGGUAGCAAACAGGAUUAGAUACCCUGGUAGUCCACGCCCUAAACGGUGGGUACUAGGUGUAGGGCUCGUAAGGGUUCUGUGCCGAAGCGAAAGCAUUAAGUACCCCGCCUGGGGAGUACGGCCGCAAGGUUGAA